RNAcentral lists this non-coding RNA (991 nucleotides) under Homo sapiens (human). The record is from Rfam by way of RNAcentral. Lineage: Eukaryota; Metazoa; Chordata; Mammalia; Primates; Hominidae.
AAACAUAGAAGUUUGGUCCUGGCCUUUUUAUGAAUUCUCAGUAAAAUUACACAUACAAGCAUCCCCGCCCCAGUGAGAAUGCCCUCCAGAUCACCUGGUUCAAAAGAAGGAGGUAUCAAGCACGCAUAAACGCAGCUCAAAACACUUUGCUCGACCACACCCCUACGGGAAACAGCAGUGAUAAAUUUUAAUUCAUAAGUGAAAGUAUGACUAACCUAUACAAUAUUUAGGGUUGGUAAAUUUUGUGCCAGCCACCGCGGCCAUACGAUUAACCCAAGCUAAUAAAACUCGGCAUAAAGAGUGUUUAAGGUCUUCAGUCAACAAAGUUAAGCUCUAUCUAAAUCGUAAAAAUCUCCAGCUGAAAUAAAAUAUACUACGAAAGGGACUUUAAUGUCCUGAGGACACAACAGCUAAGGCACAAACUGGGAUUAGAAACCCCACUAUGCUUACACAAAUAGUUAUAUUAACAAGACUGUUCGCCAGAGUACUACAUGCAGCAGCUUAAAACUCAAAGGACUUGGCGGUGCUUUAUAGCCUUCUAGAGGAGCCGGUUCUAUAAUUGAUAAACCCCGAUAUACCUCACCAUCUCUUGUCACUCAGCCUAUAUAACACCAGCUUCAGCAAACCCUAAUAUAUAUAUAUAUAUAUAUAUAUAUAUAUAUAUAUAUAUAUAUAUAUAUAUAUAGUAAACACAAGUAUGCACUAGGUCAAGGUGUAGUCCAUGGGAUGGUAAGAAAUGGGCUACAUUUUCUACAUCCAGAAAUAUCUCACAAUAACCUUCAUGAAAUCUAAAUGUUCGAAGAGGAUUUAGUAGUAAAUCAAGAACAGAGUGCUUGAUUGAAUAAGGCCAUAAGGCAAGCACACAAGCCCGUCACCCUCUUCAAGUAGUGCUCUAGAAAUCACUAUUAUUAAUAAUUGCUUACACACAUACAGAGGAGAUAAAUCGUAACACGGUAAGUGUACUGGAAAGUGCACCUGGAUAAACCAAAGU